This 106-nucleotide small nuclear RNA is filed under the name Prolemur simus (greater bamboo lemur). Lineage: Eukaryota; Metazoa; Chordata; Mammalia; Primates; Lemuridae. The record is from RNAcentral.
AUGCUCACUUUGGCAACACACACAUAAAAUGGCAAUGAUACAGAGAAGAUUAGCAUACCCCCUGUGCAAGAAUGAUAUACAAAUUCAUGAUGUGAUCCAUAUUUUU